Molecule: ribosomal RNA, 210 nt
Filed under: uncultured bacterium
Lineage: Bacteria
Description: partial 16S ribosomal RNA
Rfam family: Bacterial small subunit ribosomal RNA
Source: RNAcentral
AGUUCGGAUUGAAGGCUGAAAUUCGCCUUCAUGAAGCCGGAAUUGCUAGUAAUGGCAGGUCAGCAUACUGCCGUGAAUACGUUCCCGGGCCUUGUACACACCGCCCGUCACACCAUGAGAGUUGGGAAUACCCGAAGCCUGUGAGCUAACUUUUAGAGGCAGCAGUCGAAGGUAGAAUCAAUGAUUGGGGUGAAGUCGUAACAAGGUAUC